AGAAGACUAAGUUUUAUAUUUAUUAUAUUUAAUACUUUUCAUGAAAGAUAUAGAGGACAUACUUGACAGUUUAACCCUUUGAAGAAUAAAAAAUGAUAGGAAAGCAGAAGAAAAGAAAGAGAAUACUGCUAAAAGUUUGGCAUAUCACUAACAGAAAGAGAAGGAAUUUUUUAAUCAUCUUUUACAAUACACAGGUUAGAUGGUGGAUGAAUUCUUCCCCCACCCAUAGGUGUAUUGUGCUAAUUAUUGUACCAUGUGAAUGUUAUAUCAAUAUAAUUGUAAAAUUGGAUAGGCAGUUGUCAUAUCAAUAUUCAAGCAUUGUUGAAC
RNAcentral lists this long non-coding RNA (327 nucleotides) under Androctonus crassicauda. Lineage: Eukaryota; Metazoa; Arthropoda; Arachnida; Scorpiones; Buthidae. The record is from RNAcentral.